GAUGAAGAACGUAGCGAAAUGCGAUAAGUAAUGUGAAUUGCAGAAUUCAGUGAAUCAUCGAAUCUUUGAACGCACAUUGCGCCCGCCAGUAUUCUGGCGGGCAUGCCUGUUCGAGCGUCAUUUCAACCAUCAAGCCCCCCGGCUCGUGUUGGGGACCUGCGGCUGCCGCAGGCCCUGAAAAGCAGUGGCGGGCUCGCUGUCACACCGAGCGUAGUAGCAUACAUCUCGCUCUGGGCGUGCUGCGGGUUCCGGCCGUUAAACCACCUUCAUAACCCAAGGUUGACCUCGGAUCAGGUAGGAAGACCCGCUGAACUUAAGCAUAUCAAUAAGCGGAGGA
This 337-nucleotide unclassified non-coding RNA is filed under the name soil metagenome. RNAcentral's name for it is "partial contains 5.8S ribosomal RNA, internal transcribed spacer 2, and large subunit ribosomal RNA". The stretch from base 1 to 120 matches the Rfam family "5.8S ribosomal RNA", at positions 35 to 154 of the family's 154-position model. The record is from RNAcentral.